This 623-nucleotide ribosomal RNA is filed under the name Gymnothorax buroensis. RNAcentral's name for it is "partial 16S ribosomal RNA subunit". It matches the Rfam family "Bacterial large subunit ribosomal RNA", at positions 1796 to 2619 of the family's 2925-position model. The record is from RNAcentral. Lineage: Eukaryota; Metazoa; Chordata; Actinopteri; Anguilliformes; Muraenidae.
UCGCCUGUUUAUCAAAAACAUCGCCUCUUGCAAACAUUGAAGUAUUAGAGGUCCCGCCUGCCCUGUGACAGCAGUGUUUAACGGCCGCGGUAUUUUAACCGCGCGAAGGUAGCGUAAUCACUUGUCUUUUAAAUGGAGACCUGUAUGAAUGGCAUAACGAGGGUUUGACUGUCUCCUCCACCCGGUCAAUGAAAUUGAUCUGCCCGUGCAGAAGCGGGCAUAAGCACAUAAGACGAGAAGACCCUAUGGAGCUUUAGGCAAAUGACCAGGCAAAACAAGUCACGGCCCUUAAUAAGCCUAGAAAAACAAAAGCUAAUGAUCAAAAUGCCUUCGGUUGGGGCGACCAUGGAGGAAACAAAAUCCUCCAAGCGGAAAGGGACAACCCUUGAACCAAGAGAGACACCUCGAAGUAACAGAAUUUAUGACCAACUAUGACCCAGGAUUUAACCUGAUCAACGGACCUAGUUACCCUAGGGAUAACAGCGCAAUCCUCUCCCAGAGUCCCUAUCGACGAGGGGGUUUACGACCUCGAUGUUGGAUCAGGACAUCCUAAUGGUGCAGCCGCUAUUAAGGGUUCGUUUGUUCAACGAUUAACAGUCCUACGUGAUCUGAGUUCAGACCGG